RNAcentral lists this ribosomal RNA (253 nucleotides) under uncultured bacterium. RNAcentral describes it as "partial 16S ribosomal RNA". It matches the Rfam family "Bacterial small subunit ribosomal RNA", at positions 524 to 776 of the family's 1533-position model. The record is from RNAcentral.
UACAGAGGUCCCAAGCGUUGUUCGGAUUCACUGGGCGUAAAGAGCUCGUAGGCGGUUUGUUGCGUCGGCUGUGAAAUCCCGAGGCUCAACCUCGGGUCUGCAGUCGAUACGAGCAAACUAGAGUGUUGCAGGGGAGACUGGAAUUCCUGGUGUAGCGGUGAAAUGCGCAGAUAUCAGGAGGAACACCGGUGGCGAAGGCGGGUCUCUGGGCAACAACUGACGCUGAGGAGCGAAAGCGUGGGGAGCGAACAGG